AUUGAACGCUGGCGGCAGGCCUAACACAUGCAAGUCGAACGGUAACAGGAAGAAGCUUGCUUCUUUGCUGACGAGUGGCGGACGGGUGAGUAAUGUCUGGGAAACUGCCUGAUGGAGGGGGAUAACUACUGGAAACGGUAGCUAAUACCGCAUAACGUCGCAAGACCAAAGAGGGGGACCUUCGGGCCUCUUGCCAUCGGAUGUGCCCAGAUGGGACUAGCUAGUAGGUGGGGUAACGGCUCACCUAGGCGACGAUCCCUAGCUGGUCUGAGAGGAUGACCAGCCACGCUGGAACUGAGACACGGUCCAGACUCCUACGGGAGGCAGCAGUGGGGAAUAUUGCACAAUGGGCGCAAGCCUGAUGCAGCCAUGCCGCGUGUAUGAAGAAGGCCUUCGGGUUGUAAAGUACUUUCAGCGGGGAGGAAGGGAGUAAAGUUAAUACCUUUGCUCAUUGACGUUACCCGCAGAAGAAGCACCGGCUAACUCCGUG
Molecule: ribosomal RNA, 490 nt
Filed under: uncultured bacterium
Lineage: Bacteria
Description: partial 16S ribosomal RNA
Rfam family: Bacterial small subunit ribosomal RNA
Source: RNAcentral